RNAcentral lists this long non-coding RNA (461 nucleotides) under Daphnia pulex (common water flea). RNAcentral's name for it is "uncharacterized LOC124195843, transcript variant X2". The record is from RNAcentral. Lineage: Eukaryota; Metazoa; Arthropoda; Branchiopoda; Diplostraca; Daphniidae.
AGGUAACCCAUUCAGUCAUUCUGGUGUGUUUCUUCCAUGUUUUUUACUGACAUACUUCGUGUGUUGAAACUGCUAUCCAUUUUUUCCAAAAUGUCUCUAGUUCGUUUCGUCACAUGCGGAACACUUUCAGAACAAUUAAACCAGGUGAAGUCUGCGCUUCUUUGUUGCAGUCUUAUGUGAACAUGGAUUGUUUGCAGUCAUCCAGUGAAAGGUGUGAUUAAAUUGAGCUGUUGCAUGCAGUCUUUGGUGCUGAUGUUGUCCUGGAGUGUGGGAGAGUUCCAUGCUUCAAGUCUUCUGGGAUCAGCCAUAUCUGAGUUGACACUGGAUCAUGCUGCAUUGUGGUUGCCGAAAUGUUGGACAUCUAGUUCUAGUAGAACUGCAAGAAGACUCUUUGAAAUGGUUUAUGUUUACGUAGCAGUGAUGUUAACUGUCCAAUAUGGCAUGUUGUUGCAGCCUAUACU